Long non-coding RNA from Symsagittifera roscoffensis, 1093 nucleotides. RefSeq lists it as uncharacterized. The record is from RefSeq and is a predicted model, not a curated record. Lineage: Eukaryota; Metazoa; Xenacoelomorpha; Acoela; Convolutidae. The transcript is spliced from 2 exons.
GCUAAGCAAAAGUGAAAAAACAAUAAAGUUAAACAAAUAUUAAGCUAGAGGAGUGGAUCUAUUUUGAAGUACUGGGAAAAGAUGGGUAACGUUAUGCGAUGUUUUUUGAUUGGUCGAAUUGUUUUUCCUUUUUUAUCCUCUCAUAAAGUAAACAUUGUUUUUUUUUUAAUUUCUGAAGUAGGAGAUUAUCCACUGCUGAAAAUCUAUUCGACCAUCGUACCAACUGUCAAUUUCUAUUAUCAUUUUUGAACACUACUUACAAAAUCAAAAUCAGAUAAAACCGCUCUUGUUAUUGAUACAGCCGAAAAAUUGUCAAAAGUAAAAAAGAAAACAUAAAAAGCGGCAUCUACAAAAAAUUUUAACUAAAAACAACCAGAUCUUCUUACUAGAAUCACAUUAAUCACCAAACUCAACCGUCAAUCAAUUCAAAUCAGAAAACGAGACCAAAAUGAGAUCACAUCAAAUUGAAAACAGCACGCGCAGGCAAAACUCCGAAAACAACAACAAAAACAAGAAAGUAAACAUCGCCAGGACAGUCAAGGUCAGUCAAUUUGGAUAUUUGACCAUCUUCAGUUGCUUGUUUCUGAUGGCCACGUUGAUUUCUACCUACCCAAGCCAAGCAUCAGCGGCACACCGACUCUUCAUUUUAACCCCCAGUCAAUCAGAAAAAGGGGGUCCCGAUAUGAUAGAAGGGGGUUAUACGGAAGGGAUGGGUGGAAGUCUGAAACGAGAGCUCGCCGAUCAGAUGUCCGGGGGUCCACUACGACACCGGAUGCUGCAAUCCAGUCAAUUUUUCCCCCACGAAGAGACGAAAGAGGCAAAUGAGAAGCGAGGGUGGAGGACAAUUCUGGACGACAGAUAUUACAAACGAAAGUGAUGGGUGCAAUACCGGUCGAUCACAAUCGAGAAAAAUCUGCAGACCAACGAAUGACAAUAGGAAUUCCAUUUAACCAAUCAGAAACGAGAGUUUCACUGACCAAUCAUCGUCGUUCUUAAUGAUUAUGUGCCAGUAGUGUAGAAGGUGCAAUUCAUAAAACCAGAAGUACUAUUUUGUGUUCCUCGUACAAUAUCCUGAAUUCAAAAUCAUUCUUGA